This 253-nucleotide ribosomal RNA is filed under the name uncultured bacterium. RNAcentral's name for it is "partial 16S ribosomal RNA". It matches the Rfam family "Bacterial small subunit ribosomal RNA", at positions 524 to 776 of the family's 1533-position model. The record is from RNAcentral.
UACGUAGGGUGCGAGCGUUAAUCGGAAUUACUGGGCGUAAAGCGCACGUAGGCGGCUUUGUAAGUUAGAGGUGAAAGCCCGGGGCUCAACUCCGGAACUGCCUUUAAGACUGCAUCGCUUGAAUCAUGGAGAGGUCAGUGGAAUUCCGAGUGUAGAGGUGAAAUUCGUAGAUAUUCGGAAGAACACCAGUGGCGAAGGCGACUGACUGGACAUGUAUUGACGCUGAGGUGCGAAAGCGUGGGGAGCAAACAGG